This is a non-coding RNA of Heterocephalus glaber (naked mole-rat), 272 nucleotides long. The record is from Rfam. Lineage: Eukaryota; Metazoa; Chordata; Mammalia; Rodentia; Bathyergidae.
ACGCAAUCUUCACAUCUUUCCAUCUUAGAAAAUUCUUCCCAAGCGUUUCUUUUGUGUUUUUAACCUAUAAAAGAUAAUGGAGUAUAUUUUAUAGACUAGGUUUUAUCUUCUCCCCAUUCCCAACUGCACUUUGUUUAAUAGUUGUCAGCUUCCCUUUAGCCUUGGAUUUAAUUAUAUAGGACCAAAAUAUUCUCUAGUAAAUAGCUUGCUAAAUAUUUUGUCACUUUUGUGACUUCCCCUCCGAGAACUAGAUUAAUUACAGGAAUCUACCU